GAGCAAGCUGACGCUCCAGUUGCCUUAGUCUUCAAAAGUGUCACUUUCAGAUUGUAUCCUUCAACUUUAAAAUGUCCUUCUUUGGAGUCCAUCUUGCUCUGCCCAUUAUUGGGCCCCAGUGGUCACUUCCUCCUCCACGCUCCUGUGGCCUGGGAUUCACACCAGGAAAGAACGCCACGAAGAAGGAAUGAUGAGAGAUCAAGAAAUAUUAUCCAGUGGCUCUAUGCAGUUCAAAGGGUAGAAGAAAGAAGACCCAGUCAAGGUUUUCGGAUUGGCAGUCUCCAGGUGACAUCUGGUUUUUCUGCCUCCCCCCGAAGGUGGAACAGCAUUGGAAUAGCUUUCCUUACUAGAUACUGGAAAUCCAAUCAGACAUGGGAUGAUCAAGUAUCUAAUCUCCUGGAGCUCCAAGUGCCUUGCUAUCAUUUUCAUACAGGAGGGGCUCAGAGACAGAUGAAAUCAUCACAGAUGGGUUUCAAGGUACGAGAGAAUCACCUUGACUCUGUGUCUCACAGAGCACUUAGUGUAAGACUGAAAAUUUAUUUAUCACCUACAUCAAAGGAAAAGGCUCACAUGGAUGUUGCUGAAUGACCAACACUCCCAGACACACACACUCUCCCGAUCCUUCAUCUAAUGGUUUAGUUAUGGUUCUCAGAGUGUAGAGAAG
This 664-nucleotide long non-coding RNA is filed under the name Macaca mulatta (Rhesus monkey). Its description in RNAcentral is "lncRNA (ENSMMUG00000063262.1)". The record is from RNAcentral. Lineage: Eukaryota; Metazoa; Chordata; Mammalia; Primates; Cercopithecidae.